AUGUUGACUCCAUUAGAUAAAUCAUAUCUAAGUGAAGUUAAGACAACUGUUAGGUCAGUGUGUGGCAAUAAGCUAGAGCUUCGUGGAAAAGGCAGGUUCAAUCUGCAUUUCGGUCCAAAUAUGUUGCAAUCUGAAGCUGUUGUGACUGAUCUGCAAGUUGACGGUAUAUACUUGGUUUGGACUUCAUGAAACGACAUAAUUGUUUAAUUGAUGUUAAGAAUGGGCACUUUUGUAUUGGGGAUUUUAAGGUAGAUUUGUGUUUUCAGGGAUCAAUAGGCUGUUACCGAGUGGUUGCUUCAGAAGCGGUUGUUAUACCGCCAAGGUCAGAAAUUGUCAUUAAUGGCACGGUUUGCUUAGCAGAAGGUCAGAAAUUACCUGCUGACAAUGCUUUGUUAGAAGCAAAUGAGCAUGCAGGGAAAGACUACAUUUUGACUGCUAGAACGUUGGUAAGGUCAGGCGAAAAAGUCCCUGUUAGAUUAAUGAACACAGAACUAGAUCCUAAGACAAUCUAUCCUGGUACAACUAUAGCCCAAAUGUCUGGUGUUGAACAAGUACUAGAUGGUAAUAUUAGUUCAAAUGAACAGAAACAUGACGGACUUAGACCAGAUUUACAAGAUCUGUUAGACAGGACAUCAGAUGAAUUGACUUCGAAAGACAAACAAAAAGUAAAAUCUUUGUUGAUAGAAAAUCAGAACUUGUUUGCUUCUUCUGAUGUUGACUUGGGAAGGACCAAUCUUGUAAAACACGAAAUCAAUACGGGAAACGCAAGGCCAUUUAAAGAACCACCUCGUCGUACACCUUAUCAUUUGAACAAGGUAGUAAAUGACAACCUUGACAAAAUGUUACAAAAAGGGAUUAUUGAACCAUCCCACAGUCCCUGGGCGGCAGGGAUAGUCUUAGUUAAGAAAAAGGACGACAGUUAUCGCUUUUUGCGUAGAUUAUAGACGCUUAAACAGUGUGACCCUUAAUAAAGACGCGUAUCCUUUACCGAGGAUUGACGAUUCGUUAGAUCAUUUAGCAGGAAAUAAAUGGUAUAGUACUCUGGACUGUUGUUCAGGAUAUUGGCAGGUGGAGCUGGCCGAAAAUGACAAACACAAAACCGCUUUUGCAACGCGAAGGGGUUUAUUUCAAUUUCGGGUCAUGCCGUUUGGGUUGUGUUGCGCUGCACAGACAUUUGAGCGAUUGAUGGAAACCAUACUAGCUGGUUUGCAGUGGGAAACAUGUCUGGUUUACAUUGACGAUAUAAUCGUUUUUGGAAAAACACUAGAUGGUAUGCUUGAUAAUUUAAGAGACGUUUUUGCUAGGCUUAAAUCGGCUGGUUUAAAGCUGAAGGCGAAGAAGUGCACCUUGUGUACCACCAAGGUUCGUUUCUUAGGACAUAUUGUCUCUGAGGAAGGAAUAUCAACCGACCCUGACAAGAUUAAGGCUGUUAAAGAGUGGCCCACCCCUACAAAUAUAACUGAAGUUCGUUCCUUUUUAGGUCUUUGUGGGUACUAUAGGAAAAUUUAUUAAAAACUUUGCCCACAUUGCUAAACCAUUACACAAAAUAACAGAGAAAGAAACUAAAUUUGUUUGGACUUCAGAAUGUCAAGAAUCUUUUGACCAAUUGAAAAGGUAAAUUAAUAAACGCACCAGUUCUUGCAUAUCCAGAUUUUAACAAAAGAAUUCAUUUUGGAUACUGAUGCAAGCAAUUUGGCAGUCGGAGCUGUCUUGACUCAGAAAUCUGAUGAAGGGCUUGAACAUGUUGUGGCUUAUGCUAGUCGUACACUUUCAAAAUCAGAACGAAAGGUACUGUGUGACACGCAAGGAGUUGCUUGCUGUGGUUUGUUUUGUUAAACAUUUCAAACCAUACCUUUACGGUAGAAAAUUCACAGUAAGAACUGAUCACGGAUCAUUAAAGUGGUUACUUAACUUUAAGAACCCAGAAGGACAGAUAGCUAGAUGGAUAGAGACAUUAGGAUUCAUUUGAGAUGCAAAUUCAACAUCGACCAGGAGUGCAACAUAGGAAUGCAGACGCACUUAGUCGCAUUCCUUGUAAACAAUGUGGUUAUCAUUCCGGUUUAGAAAAAGAGACUGAGACUAAAGACCAAUAUGACACUGUUAAUGCUAUCACCCGUUUUGAUAGUAGUAAUGACAGAGAUGAUGACAGUGAACAUCAUGAUUUGUCUCUUAAAGGAAAUUCAGAAAAAUGAUCAUGACUUGAAAAUAGUGACAAAAUGGGUAGAAAAAGAUGAACGUCCUGAUUACAAAGAUAUUUCUGAUAAGGGAUUUUUCUUGAGAUCACUUUGGAAUCAAUGGAACAACUUAGAGUUAAGAGACGGACUUAUUUACAGACGAUUUGAAGACCCUGCAACCAAAAUUGUAAAAAUGCAGGCUAUCAUUCCUUUAUCAGAACGCAAAAAGGUUUUACAAUUUUCCCAUGAUGAUAAAUGUUCUGCUCAUUUGGGUAUCCAUAAAACUUUGGCAAAAAUUAGACAAUCUUAUUAUUGGCCUGGGUUACAAAAAUGACGUCAGGACUUACAUAAACGGAUGUGACAAAUGUGCAAAGCGAAAAAGUCCACAAAAGUCCAAAAGAGCUCCAAUGGCUUUAGUUGAAGCUAAUGGGCCAAUGGAAAGGAUAGCUACAGAUAUCCUUGGUGAGUUGCCAGAAACAGAGAGUGGUAACAAAUAUAUCUUGGUAGUUUCUGACUACUACACAAAGUGGACGGAAUCUUUUGCCAUGCCAAAUAUGGAAGCUAAGACUGUGGCUAAGAUUAUAGUUGAAGAAGUCAUUGUAAGAUUUGGUGUUCCUCAUUGGAUACACUUCAGAUCAAGGCAGGCAAUUUGA
This 2827-nucleotide small RNA is filed under the name Mytilus galloprovincialis (Mediterranean mussel). Lineage: Eukaryota; Metazoa; Mollusca; Bivalvia; Mytilida; Mytilidae. The record is from RNAcentral.